Molecule: ribosomal RNA, 468 nt
Filed under: uncultured bacterium
Lineage: Bacteria
Description: partial 16S ribosomal RNA
Rfam family: Bacterial small subunit ribosomal RNA
Source: RNAcentral
GACGAACGCUGGCGGCGUGCUUAACACAUGCAAGUCGAACGGAAAGGCCCUGCUUUUGUGGGGUGCUCGAGUGGCGAACGGGUGAGUAACACGUGAGUAACCUGCCCUUGACUUUGGGAUAACUUCAGGAAACCGGGGCUAAUACCGGAUAGGAGCUCCUGCUGCAUGGUGGGGGUUGGAAAGUUUCGGCGGUUGGGGAUGGACUCGCGGCUUAUCAGCUUGUUGGUGGGGUAGUGGCUUACCAAGGCUUUGACGGGUAGCCGGCCUGAGAGGGUGACCGGCCACAUUGAGACUGAGAUACGGCCCAGACUCCUACGGGAGGCAGCAGUGGGGAAUAUUGCACAAUGGGCGGAAGCCUGAUGCAGCAACGCCGCGUGCGGGAUGGCGGCCUUCGGGUUGUAAACCGCUUUCGCCUGUGACGAAGCGUGAGUGACGGUAAUGGGUAAAGAAGCACCGGCUAACUACGUG